AAACUAAUGAGCAGUACAAAUUAGGGCAACCGCAAAAUCUUCGGAGGGUAAACAAUUUGCAGGCUAAUAUAGAGUAGAUAAAGGCAUACGUAUGUCUACAAAUUCAGUGGUGGUUGGGAUUUGACUUUGAUGCAAUCUGGUAAAGGAGGUAACCGGAGCACAGCUUCCUCCGUCACAAUCGGGUCCGACCUCAAAAUCUACAAAUCCAUACUUAAUAUUACACACACACACAAUAGAGAGAGAGAGAGAGAGAGAGAGAGAGAGAGAGAGAGGAGAUCUUACUGGAUCUUGGAGGAGUGGUUUGGUGUCAUCUUUAGCUGGUCUGAAAAGGGGUUUCUUGUGUUCUCUCUUCAUUUCAGAUUCUCCAUUGUUAACCUCCGAUGAUUUCAUUUUCGAUUCUUUUUGCUCUCUGCCUGCCCGAUCGCCGCCUUCCCUUUGUAGAAAUUUUCACUUCUCCAAAUGUGAAAACAAUACAUUUCAGAAGAAACAUCAUAAACGGCAACGAAUCCGUUCCGUGAUAGCAAAUUAAAACUAAUGAGCAGUACAAAUUAGGGCAACCGCAAAAUCAUCGGAGGGUAAACAAUUUGCAGCCUAAUAUAGAGUAGAUAAAGGCAUACAUAUGUCUACAAAUUCAGUGGUGGUUGGGAUUUGACUUUGAUGCAAUCUGGUAAAGGAGGUAACCGGAGCACAGCUUCCUCCGUCACAAUCGGGUCCGACCUCAAAAUCUACAAAUCCAUACUUAAUAUUACACACACACAAAAUAGAGAGAGAGAGAGAGAGAGAGGAGAUCUUACUGGAUCUUGGAGGAGUGGUUUGGUGUCAUCUUUAGCUGGUCUGAAAAGGGGUUUCUUGUGUUCUCUCUUCAUUUCAGAUUCUCCAUUGUUAACCUCCGAUGAUUUCAUUUUCGAUUCUUUUUGCUCUCUGCCUGCCCGAUCGCCGCCUUC
RNAcentral lists this long non-coding RNA (944 nucleotides) under Olea europaea (common olive). Its description in RNAcentral is "long non-coding RNA (OEUR_LNC004739)". Lineage: Eukaryota; Viridiplantae; Streptophyta; Magnoliopsida; Lamiales; Oleaceae. The record is from RNAcentral.